CUACGGGCGGCUGCAGUCGAGAAUCCUCCGCAAUGGACGAAAGUCUGACGGAGCGACGCCGCGUGCGGGAUGAAGGCCUUCGGGUUGUAAACCGCUGUCAGUGGGGAGGAAAUGCAUCAGGGUUCUCCCUGGUGUUUGACCGAUCCGCAGAGGAAGCGCAGGCUAAGUUCGUGCCAGCAGCCGCGGUAACACGAACUGCGCGAACGUUAUUCGGAAUCACUGGGCUUAAAGAGUUCGUAGGCGGCCUUUCAAGUCGGGUGUGAAAUCCCUCGGCUCAACCGAGGAAUUGCGCCUGAUCUGUUGGGCUUGAGGGGGAUAGGGGUGAGCGGAACUGAUGGUGGAGCGGUGAAAUGCGUUGAUAUCAUCAGGAACACCGGUGGCGAAGGCGGCUCACUGAAUCUCUUCUGACGCUGAGGAACGAAAGCUAGGGGAGCGAACGGGAUUAGAUACCCCAGUAGUC
Molecule: ribosomal RNA, 460 nt
Filed under: uncultured bacterium
Lineage: Bacteria
Description: partial 16S ribosomal RNA
Rfam family: Bacterial small subunit ribosomal RNA
Source: RNAcentral